CAACGGCUCUGCAAAAACCUGGCAACAAGUAGCUUUUUUGGGGCCUUUCCGUAGUUUUGUGCGGCAAUUUUUGCAUCAGUUUGGAUCUUGGUGUUAUUUCUUCUCUUUGGGUGUUAUUUUUUCAUCUGCACUGAUACCCAGAGUUUUAUAUUUUCCUUUGAAAGAGUUUGGCGGUGUGCAUUUUCAAGGUCUUAUUAUUUUCUGUCGUCGUUUGGUCGUGUUUGUAUCUCGCCACGUGACGAGCCUUCUUCCUCCUGGAGCUGUGUUCGUACGGGCGUCAUUCCUACUGGAGAUGUGGAUCCAGCGGGGAAAAAAGAGAGGAAGAGAGAAGCUGCUCAGAAUUUCACCCCCGGAUUCGGGAACGUUUCGGAAUCGCCUCUACUGCAGAAUAUUUGCUGCAUGACUGACUCUGGCCGAUGGCACGGGACUUUUGGCCAAUCAGAGAACCCCAUGGUCAGACAGACGGACAGCCCUAGCAAUGCUGCUACCUGACAAGCUGCUUAGAGCCUGAUGGAGAGAGGAGGAGGAGGGAGGAGGAGGGAGGGAGGAGGCGAUAGGCCAGUGUUUUUUUUCUCUCUCUCUCUCUCUCUCUCUCUCUCUCUCUCUCUCUCUCAGGGCGUGUUAAGGAGCAGGACCACACAUGCCCCCUUGGUGACCGACUGUCUUUGCCCUGAAGUACUUUCAGUAACCAUCUCUGUCUGUCUGUCCGUCCAUUUGUACUAACAUCUGUCCUGUCAACAAAAAAAUAAAAAAAAUAAUUGAAAUUACAUAAGUGGAUCCAAACUCUGAUCUCCUUUAAAAAAAAAAUUAAAAACAAGUUGUCUUCCUGACCUGGUUGACUGGGACCAAGGUACUGGAGUACCAGUGUAGACCGUCGGGUCGAUGAUGG
This 889-nucleotide long non-coding RNA is filed under the name Salmo salar (Atlantic salmon). RNAcentral's name for it is "lncRNA (ENSSSAG00000084343.1)". The record is from RNAcentral. Lineage: Eukaryota; Metazoa; Chordata; Actinopteri; Salmoniformes; Salmonidae.